UACGAAGGGUGCUAGCGUUAUUCGGAAUCAUUGGGCGUAAAGGGCGCGUAGGCGGCCUGUUAAGUUUGCUGUUAAAUCUUUCGGCCUAACCGAAAAACUGCAGCAAAAACUGAUAGGCUAGAGUGUAAGAGAGAGAAGUGGAAUUCUCGGAGUAGCGGUAAAAUGCGUAGAUCUCGAGAGGAACACCGAUGGCGAAGGCAGCUUCUUGGCUUACUACUGACGCUGAGGCGCGAAAGCGUGGGGAGCAAACAGGAUUAGAUACCCUGGUAGUCCACGCUGUAAACGAUGAUCACUAGAUGUUAGUUCUGCUUAGCAGGAUUAGUGUCGUAGCUAACGCGUUAAGUGAUCCGCCUGGGAAGUACGGUCGCAAGGCUA
This 375-nucleotide ribosomal RNA is filed under the name uncultured prokaryote. RNAcentral describes it as "bacterial SSU rRNA". It matches the Rfam family "Bacterial small subunit ribosomal RNA", at positions 524 to 896 of the family's 1533-position model. The record is from RNAcentral.